RNAcentral lists this ribosomal RNA (468 nucleotides) under uncultured bacterium. RNAcentral's name for it is "partial 16S ribosomal RNA". It matches the Rfam family "Bacterial small subunit ribosomal RNA", at positions 28 to 507 of the family's 1533-position model. The record is from RNAcentral.
GACGAACGCUGGCGGCGUGCUUAACACAUGCCAGUCGAACGGAAAGGCCCUGCUUUUGUGGGGUGCUCGAGUGGCGAACGGGUGAGUAACACGUGAGUAACCUGCCCUUGACUUUGGGAUAACUUCAGGAAACUGGGGCUAAUACCGGAUAGGAGCUCCUGCUGCAUGGUGGGGGUUGGAAAGUUUCGGCGGUUGGGGAUGGACUCGCGGCUUAUCAGCUUGUUGGUGGGGUAGUGGCUUACCAAGGCUUUGACGGGUAGCCGGCCUGAGAGGGUGACCGGCCACAUUGGGACUGAGAUACGGCCCAGACUCCUACGGGAGGCAGCAGUGGGGAAUAUUGCACAAUGCGCGGAAGCCUGAUGCAGCAACGCCGCGUGCGGGAUGACGGCCUUCGGGUUGUAAACCGCUUUCGCCUGUGACGAAGCGUGAGUGACGGUAAUGGGUAAAGAAGCACCGGCUAACUACGUG